UACCAUGGUUUUAACGGGUAACGGGGAAUUAGGGUUCGAUUCCGGAGAGGGAGCCUGAGAAACGGCUACCACAUCCAAGGAAGGCAGCAGGCGCGCAAAUUACCCAAUCCCGACACGGGGAGGUAGUGACAAUAAAUAACAAUAUGGGGCUCUUACGAGUCUUGUAAUUGGAAUGAGUACAAUUUAAAUCUCUUAACGAGGAACAAUUGGAGGGCAAGUCUGGUGCCAGCAGCCGCGGUAAUUCCAGCUCCAAUAGCGUAUAUUAAAGUUGUUGCAGUUAAAAAGCUCGUAGUUGAAUUUCGGGAUUUAUCCGUCGGUCGGGCUUUUGGGUUUGUACUGGCGUGAUGGAUUCCUACCUUCUGAAUAACCGGCAUGUCAUUAAUUUGGUGCGCCGGGGAAGCAGGACUGUUACCUUGAAAAAAUUAGAGUGCUUAAAGCAGGCUUAUGCCUGAAUACAUUAGCAUGGAAUAAUGAAAUAGGACGGCAUGGUUCUAUUUUGUUGGUUUCUAGGAUCACCGUAAUGAUUAAUAGGGAUAGUUGGGGGCAUUAGUAUUCAAUUGUCAGAGGUGAAAUUCUUGGAUUUAUUGAAGACUAACUUCUGCGAAAGCAUUUGCCAAGGAUGUUUUCAUUAAUCAAGAACGAAAGUUAGGGGAUCGAAGACGAUCAGAUACCGUCGUAGUCUUAACCAUAAACUAUGCCGACUAGGGAUCGGACGAUGUUAAUUUUUUAAUGACUCGUUCGGCGCCUUACGGGAAACCAAAGUGUUU
Molecule: ribosomal RNA, 767 nt
Filed under: uncultured Acaulospora
Lineage: Eukaryota; Fungi; Glomeromycota; Glomeromycetes; Diversisporales; Acaulosporaceae
Description: SSU rRNA
Rfam family: Eukaryotic small subunit ribosomal RNA
Source: RNAcentral